RNAcentral lists this unclassified non-coding RNA (268 nucleotides) under Hevea brasiliensis (rubber tree). The record is from RNAcentral. Lineage: Eukaryota; Viridiplantae; Streptophyta; Magnoliopsida; Malpighiales; Euphorbiaceae.
GGCCCAAUCCUUGCCAAGAUGUGAACGGAAUCUGAGAACCACGAUUAGCAGGGAUCUUGAUAAGCUUCAUAAAUACCUGAUAUGUCUCUGCCUUCUUAUUUAGCAGUUCACCUUCUGAAAGUUUCUUUAAUUUAAGCACAUCUUCUUCAGAAUCAGAAUCAGAAGAGAUGGCGUGUGCCUCUUCCCAUGGAGCUGGUCUCUUCAUUUUGAAGUAAUCCUCGACGACGAUGAUCCGAGGAGUUAGGGUUUUGCCCUAACCCCAGUUCCG